GAGUGAACGCUGGCGGUAGGCCUAACACAUGCAAGUCGAACGGCAGCACAGUAAGAGCUUGCUCUUACGGGUGGCGAGUGGCGGACGGGUGAGGAAUACAUCGGAAUCUACUUUUUCGUGGGGGAUAACGUAGGGAAACUUACGCUAAUACCGCAUACGACCUACGGGUGAAAGCAGGGGAUCUUCGGACCUUGCGCGAUUGAAUGAGCCGAUGUCGGAUUAGCUAGUUGGCGGGGUAAAGGCCCACCAAGGCGACGAUCCGUAGCUGGUCUGAGAGGAUGAUCAGCCACACUGGAACUGAGACACGGUCCAGACUCCUACGGGAGGCAGCAGUGGGGAAUAUUGGACAAUGGGCGCAAGCCUGAUCCAGCCAUACCGCGUGGGUGAAGAAGGCCUUCGGUUGUAAAGCCCUUUUGUUGGGAAAGAAAAGCAGCAGGUUAAUACCCCGCUGUUCUGACGGUACCCAAAGAAUAAGCACCGGCUAACUUCGUG
Molecule: ribosomal RNA, 492 nt
Filed under: uncultured bacterium
Lineage: Bacteria
Description: partial 16S ribosomal RNA
Rfam family: Bacterial small subunit ribosomal RNA
Source: RNAcentral